CCUUUGCCGGCGACCGGCGCACGGGUGAGUAACACGUAUGCAACCUGCCCUCUUCAGGGGGACAACCUUCCGAAAGGGAGGCUAAUCCCGCGUAUAUCGGUUUCGGGCAUCCGAGAUCGAGGAAAGAUUCAUCGGAAGGGGAUGGGCAUGCGGCGCAUUAGCUAGACGGCGGGGUAACGGCCCACCGUGGCGACGAUGCGUAGGGGUUCUGAGAGGAAGGUCCCCCACACUGGUACUGAGACACGGUCCAGACUCCUACGGGAGGCAGCAG
RNAcentral lists this ribosomal RNA (271 nucleotides) under uncultured bacterium. Its description in RNAcentral is "partial 16S ribosomal RNA". It matches the Rfam family "Bacterial small subunit ribosomal RNA", at positions 82 to 354 of the family's 1533-position model. The record is from RNAcentral.